UACGGAGGGGGCGAGCGUUACUCGGAAUUAUUGGGCGUAAAGGGCGCGUAGGCGGCCCGGUAAGUCAAAGGUGAAAUCCCUCGGCUCAACUGAGGAACUGCCUUUGAAACUGUCGGGCUUGAGGCCGGGAGGGGGUAGCGGAAUUCCCAGUGUAGCGGUGAAAUGCGCAGAUAUCGGGAAGAACACCCGUGGCGAAGGCGGCUCUCUGGGACGGUACUGACGCUGAGACGCGAAAGCGUGGGGAGCGAACAGG
This 253-nucleotide ribosomal RNA is filed under the name uncultured bacterium. RNAcentral describes it as "partial 16S ribosomal RNA". It matches the Rfam family "Bacterial small subunit ribosomal RNA", at positions 524 to 776 of the family's 1533-position model. The record is from RNAcentral.